This 470-nucleotide ribosomal RNA is filed under the name uncultured Cellulomonas sp. RNAcentral describes it as "bacterial SSU rRNA". It matches the Rfam family "Bacterial small subunit ribosomal RNA", at positions 910 to 1382 of the family's 1533-position model. Lineage: Bacteria; Bacillati; Actinomycetota; Actinomycetes; Micrococcales; Cellulomonadaceae. The record is from RNAcentral.
UUGACGGGGCCCGCACAAGCGGCGGAGCAUGCGGAUUAAUUCGAUGCAACGCGAAGAACCUUACCAAGGCUUGACAUACACCGGUAACGCCCAGAGAUGGGUGCCCCUUGUGGUCGGUGGACAGGUGGUGCAUGGUUGUCGUCAGCUCGUGUCGUGAGAUGUUGGGUUAAGUCCCGCAACGAGCGCAACCCUCGUCCUAUGUUGCCAGCGGGUCAUGCCGGGGACUCAUGGGAGACUGCCGGGGUCAACUCGGAGGAAGGUGGGGAUGACGUCAAAUCAUCAUGCCCCUUAUGUCUUGGGCUUCACGCAUGCUACAAUGGCCGGUACAAAGGGCUGCGAUACCGCGAGGUGGAGCGAAUCCCAGAAAGCCGGUCUCAGUUCGGAUUGGGGUCUGCAACUCGACCCCAUGAAGUCGGAGUCGCUAGUAAUCGCAGAUCAGCAACGCUGCGGUGAAUACGUUCCCGGGCCUU